GCCAUAGCUCAGUGGUAGAGCAUUUGCCUGUGCGCAGAAGGUCCCAGGUUCAAUGCGUAGCAUCCCCAGGUAGGAAUA
This is a non-coding RNA of Podarcis lilfordi (Lilford's wall lizard), 78 nucleotides long. Lineage: Eukaryota; Metazoa; Chordata; Lepidosauria; Squamata; Lacertidae. The record is from the annotation of a GenBank genome assembly.